Molecule: long non-coding RNA, 679 nt
Organism: Aphis gossypii (cotton aphid)
Lineage: Eukaryota; Metazoa; Arthropoda; Insecta; Hemiptera; Aphididae
Exons: 2
Source: RefSeq, a predicted model, not a curated record
GAAACACAAACAGUAUUAUUUAAAACUUUGAACGGGCGUGCGGCCACGUUUGGGCGUAUCUAUUGCAGUACACGGUUUGAGACGUGUCGAGAAUAUUAAUGUGUAUAUAGGUACACGUAUGUAUAAUAAUAACACUCGCCUCAGGUAUUGAACAGUGGCGUACUAUUGUCGUGAAAUGAUUCCGCAGACACAUUGUGUAGGUACGAAGAUAUUUUGUUUUCGCAUUACAUUGUGCGUGUCCGCGGUUCAGUGGCUUAAUAUAUCAGCACCACUAUUAUAUUAUAAUAUCAUCAUUAUAAGCUUUUUUUGACGACUUCAUAUGGAAUAUAAUACGAGUAUAAAAGUAGGUACAUCGAACGUCGAGUGGAUUUUUCAUUAUUUUAUUUUGUACACGAUGUGCGUAAUGUGUAUAGAUGACUACCUACAGAUUUAUUUAUUGACGUGUAAUUCAGUAAUGAUUGGUCUCGCCAUGUAUUGUUAAGCCAUAUUAAAUUAUGGCACAGAAAGACUUCAUCAAUUGUUUAUUCAUGCUGAAAUAGCGAAAUGAAGUAUUUUGUUUUUAUUUCCAUUUUUAAGUUUUCAAAUGUACCACCUGUUUAAAAUUUGUGGUCAUAAAACUGUAAAUAAUUACGUUAUUAUUAUUUAGAUUUGUAAAUAAAAGUGAUAAAAAUUUGUUUCA